AUUGAACGCUGGCGGCAGGCUUAACACAUGCAAGUCGAGCGGAGAUGAGGUGCUUGCACCUUAUCUUAGCGGCGGACGGGUGAGUAAUGCUUAGGAAUCUGCCUAUUAGUGGGGGACAACAUUCCGAAAGGAAUGCUAAUACCGCAUACGUCCUACGGGAGAAAGCAGGGGAUCUUCGGACCUUGCGCUAAUAGAUGAGCCUAAGUCGGAUUAGCUAGUUGGUGGGGUAAAGGCCUACCAAGGCGACGAUCUGUAGCGGGUCUGAGAGGAUGGUCCGCCACACUGGGACUGAGACACGGCCCAGACUCCUACGGGAGGCAGCAGUGGGGAAUAUUGGACAAUGGGGGAAACCCUGAUCCAGCCAUGCCGCGUGUGUGAUGAAGGCCUUAUGGUUGUAAAGCACUUUAAGCGAGGAGGAGGCUACUGAGACUAAUACUCUUGGAUAGUGGACGUUACUCGCAGAAUAAGCACCGGCUAACUCUGUGCCAGCCGCCGCCGUAA
This 501-nucleotide ribosomal RNA is filed under the name uncultured bacterium. RNAcentral describes it as "partial 16S ribosomal RNA". It matches the Rfam family "Bacterial small subunit ribosomal RNA", at positions 30 to 523 of the family's 1533-position model. The record is from RNAcentral.